GGCAACAGCUCAAAUUUGAAAUCUGGCCCCUAGGGCCCGAGUUGUAAUUUGCAGAGGAUGCUUUUGGCGAGGUGCCUUCCGAGUUCCCUGGAACGGGACGCCAUAGAGGGUGAGAGCCCCGUCUGGUUGGAUGCCGAGCCUUUGUAAAGCUCCUUCGACGAGUCGAGUAGUUUGGGAAUGCUGCUCUAAAUGGGAGGUAUAUGUCUUCUAAAGCUAAAUACCGGCCAGAGACCGAUAGCGCACAAGUAGAGUGAUCGAAAGAUGAAAAGCACUUUGAAAAGAGGGUUAAAUAGUACGUGAAAUUGUUGAAAGGGAAGCGCUUAUGACCAGACUUGGACCCGGUGAAUCAUCCAGCGUUCUCGCUGGUGCACUUUGCCGGGCUCAGGCCAGCAUCAGUUUGCCUUGGGGGAUAAAGGCUUUGGGAACGUGGCUCCCUCGGGAGUGUUAUAGCCCAUUGCACAAUACCCUGGGGCGGACUGAGGUUCGCGCAUCUGCAAGGAUGCUGGCGUAAUGGUCAUCAGCGACCCGUCUUGAAACACGGACCAAGGAGUCGUCUUCGUAUGCGAGUGUUCGGGUGUAAAACCCCUACGCGUAAUGAAAGUGAACGCAGGUGAGAGCUUCGGCGCAUCAUCGACCGAUCCUGAUGUUCUCGGAUGGAUUUGAGUAAGAGCAUACGGGGCCGGACCCGAAAGAAGGUGAACUAUGCCUGUAUAGGGUGAAGCCAGAGGAAACUCUGGUGGAGGCUCGCAGCGGUU
Molecule: ribosomal RNA, 755 nt
Filed under: Metarhizium sp. RMK-2011b
Lineage: Eukaryota; Fungi; Ascomycota; Sordariomycetes; Hypocreales; Clavicipitaceae
Description: LSU rRNA
Rfam family: Eukaryotic large subunit ribosomal RNA
Source: RNAcentral